AUUGAACGCUGGCGGCAGGCCUAACACAUGCAAGUCGAGCGGAUGAAGGGAGCUUGCUCCUGGAUUCAGCGGCGGACGGGUGAGUAAUGCCUAGGAAUCUGCCUGGUAGUGGGGGAUAACGUCCGGAAACGGGCGCUAAUACCGCAUACGUCCUGAGGGAGAAAGUGGGGGAUCUUCGGACCUCACGCUAUCAGAUGAGCCUAGGUCGGAUUAGCUAGUUGGUGGGGUAAAGGCCUACCAAGGCGACGAUCCGUAACUGGUCUGAGAGGAUGAUCAGUCACACUGGAACUGAGACACGGUCCAGACUCCUACGGGAGGCAGCAGUGGGGAAUAUUGGACAAUGGGCGAAAGCCUGAUCCAGCCAUGCCGCGUGUGUGAAGAAGGUCUUCGGAUUGUAAAGCACUUUUAGUUGGGAGGAAGGGCAGUAAGUUAAUACCUUGCUGUUUUGACGGUACCAACAGAAUAAGCACCGGCUAACUUCGUG
This 484-nucleotide ribosomal RNA is filed under the name uncultured bacterium. RNAcentral's name for it is "partial 16S ribosomal RNA". It matches the Rfam family "Bacterial small subunit ribosomal RNA", at positions 30 to 507 of the family's 1533-position model. The record is from RNAcentral.